Molecule: long non-coding RNA, 2566 nt
Organism: Oncorhynchus tshawytscha (Chinook salmon)
Lineage: Eukaryota; Metazoa; Chordata; Actinopteri; Salmoniformes; Salmonidae
Source: Ensembl
AUGAACAUCGUGUGCUUGUACUCCCUCAAUAGUUUGGGCACGUUUCAACCAGCUCAAUCCGAGCAGUUGCAGAAAACAUGGGACAUGAGACGUAUGUGGCAGGGUCUACAGGAAAUCACGGACUACAAGAAGAAAACCAGCCACGUCACGGACACCGACAUUACGCUUCCAGACAAACUAAACACCUUCUUUGCCCGCUUUGAGGAUAAAUCAGUUCCACCGUCGUGGCCUGCUAACAAGAGCUGCAUCCCUCUCCUUCUCCGGGGCCGGCAUGAGUAAAACAUUUAAACGGCUGCUGGCCCAGACGGCAUCCUUAGCCACGUCCUCGGAGCACGCGCAGACCAGCUGGCUGGUGUGUUUAUGGACAUAUUCAAUCGCUCCCUAUCCCAGUCUGCUUCAAGAUAGAUACCAUUGUUCCUGUACCCAAGAAGGCAAAGAUAACUGAACUGAAUGACUACUGCCCCGUAGCACUCACUUCUGUCAUCAUGAAGUGCUUUGAUAGACUAGUCAAGGAUCAUAUCACCUCCACCUUACCGGCCACCCUAGACCCAGUUUGCCUACCACCCUAACAGGUCCGCAGACGAUGCAUUCGCCUGCACACUGCCCUAUCCCAUCUGGACAAGAGGAAUACCUAUGUAAGAAUGCUGUUCAUUGACUACAGCUCAGCAUUCAACACCAUAGUACCCUCCAAGCUCAUCAUCAAGCUGGAGGACUUUCUGGACUUUCUGACCGGCCACCCCCAGGUGGUGGUGAAGGUAGGAAACAACAUCUCCACCUCGCUGACCCUCAACACUGGGGCCCCACAAGGGUGGGCUUGAUUACCAACAACGGCGAGACAGUCUACAGGGAGGAGGUGAGGGCACUUGGAGUGUGGUGUCAGGAAAACAAUCUCUUUAUUUUGUUGACGCUGAGUAGAGAUGAUCGUGGACUUCAGGAAACAGCAGAGGGAGCACCCCCCGCCACACAAAUGGUCCACCCACACAGACAGCGUGGUGAAGAAGGCGCAACAGCGCCUCUUCAACCACAGGAGGCUGAAGAAAUUUGGCUUGACACCCAAAACCCUGACUAACUUUUCCAGAUCCACAAUCGAGAGCAUCCUGUCGGGCUGUAUCACAACCUGGUACAGCAACUGCUCUGCCCUCAACCGCAGGCCCUCCAGAGGGUGGUGCGGUCUGCACAACGCAUCACCGGGAGCAAACUACCUGCCCUCCAUGAUACCUAUAGCACCCGAUGUCACAGGAAGGCCAAAAAGAUAAUCAAAGACAACCACCUGAGCUACUGCCUGUUCACCCCUGUUACCAUCCAGAAAGUGAGGUCUCCAGACCAGAGCUGCAUCAACACACCGCGCAAAGAAACCAACCCCAGACCCACUACAGACAUGAUCAUCAGACUGGGCAGGCUGACCCCUGGAUACUUCCGCCUCCUACAGAGACAGGUGGCGGGUGAGGUGCAGACCCAGCCACAGGACCGCGCGGUCAACCAGAUAGCCAUGAUGCUGGCCAUCAUGGGCCUGAGCCUGUCCUACUACAGUGCCAAACGGAUGACGGAGAAGGUCCAUAGGCUCCAGAAGAGAAGAGAUCCCCAUACCCCCUGAAGAGACCCCCCUGGAGAUUACAGUGUCGGUGUCCAGAACAACACCUUUUCACAACCAAUCAGUCGUAGUCACGUCGUUCAGACACUGGAGUUUUACUGGGAUCACUCUCAAUGUGAGGAGAAUUCGGGAAUUCGGGGGGAGUGUAUGUGGGAAAGGGUGUGUAUGUGGGAAAGGCCCAUGGUGGGGUUUGUGUGGUCCUGAUAACGUUUGGGGGGUAAAAAAUACAACCAGCUGUCUAUGGUCAGGCUGGGCUCCUGCUUCAGUCGUUGCCAGGGUACAGGCGUGCAGGAUGCCGUCAAUACUGUUCUGAGCUAAAAAGGGAUAGAGAAAUGCUUAACUGGAUAUUCUAAUGUACUGUGAAUCUUGCCAGUGAAUCUUGCCAACUAUAUGACAGUUUGUCUAAAAUAACUGAACAGUAAUUAUUUUUUAAUUAAGGGAAGGCUAUCUGCACUUGAGAUGUAUCUAGUAAUGACUGAAGGCGGGCCCGUAGUGCGGUUGAAAGUGGGAAGAAAGGAACCCUCUUAGGUUUUUUGUAAUUCCUUAUUGUUAAAAAAAAAUAAAAGUGAGCCAUGUGAACUAGAUGUGGAGGAGUCUCAAACUGGUCAAUAAUUCCACACAUGUUCAAUAUAUGUUAAUGUCAGACACAAACAACUGUACAUUACUGGUGAAAUUAAGUAUUUUAACAUUUUGGGAACUUGCUUAUCCAAAUAUAUGAAAGAAAGGCACUUCAAUCACAACUUUGUUUUUCACAAUGUUUCUAGAUUAAAGUCUUGAUAAAAAUGUGUGGCUUUCUUUAAAGAACUCGAUCUGCAAUAGCUACUAGGUGUUACCACAAAUAUUCUAACUUUAGUAAACGUUGCAUGGGUGUGCAGCUUUUAAUCUCUUCGUUAAUACUGUCACAUUCAGUUUUUUUUAAAGGAUGAUAACCAUGAAUGUAUUUUUCUGUGAUGUUUUUAUAGAAAAGCUGUGACU